UGCAAUGAUGAUUCAUUAGACUAGAGUCUCUGAUUUUUCCAAAUGAAGUUCUUUUACAGUGCUCUGAGCA
Molecule: small nucleolar RNA, 70 nt
Organism: Syngnathus acus (greater pipefish)
Lineage: Eukaryota; Metazoa; Chordata; Actinopteri; Syngnathiformes; Syngnathidae
Product: small nucleolar RNA SNORD52
Exons: 1
Source: RefSeq, a predicted model, not a curated record